Molecule: non-coding RNA, 451 nt
Organism: Salvelinus sp. IW2-2015
Lineage: Eukaryota; Metazoa; Chordata; Actinopteri; Salmoniformes; Salmonidae
Source: RefSeq, a predicted model, not a curated record
UAGUGAUCAGCAGUGCAGCGCGGCAGUCCUGUACCGUGGGACAGAUUGUUAACCUGGUGUCGGCAGACACUCAGAGCUCAUGGAACAUGGUGGUCUAUUUCAACUGCUGUGUGGGUGGCUCCCAUUGAGAUAGCUCUCUGUCUCUUCUCCCUGUGGCAGCUUCUGGGUCCGUCAGCCCUAGCCGGCAUCGCCACGGUGAUCCUUAUCUUUCCUCUCAACGGCUUCAUCGCCAAGAAUGAGGAGCAAGCUGCAGGAGGUCCAGAUGCGGUACACAGACAGCAGGAUCAAGCUGAUGAAUGAGAUCCUGAGUGGGAUUAAGAUCCUGAAGUUCUACGCCUGGGAACAGGCCUUCCUGGAGAGGGUUCUGGGUUACCGGGAGAAAGAACUCAAUGCCCUGAAGAGAUCCCAGGUCCUCUACUCCAUCUCCAUCGCCUCCUUCAWCUCCUCAUCC